RNAcentral lists this ribosomal RNA (519 nucleotides) under uncultured eukaryote. Its description in RNAcentral is "bacterial SSU rRNA". It matches the Rfam family "Eukaryotic small subunit ribosomal RNA", at positions 1161 to 1699 of the family's 1831-position model. The record is from RNAcentral.
AGGGAACCACCAGGAGUGGAGCCUGCGGGUUAUUUAGAUUCAACACGGGAAAACUCACCCGGCCCGGACACUGGAAGGAUUGACAGAUUGAGAGCUCUUUCUUGAUGCCAAGGGUGGUGGUGCAUGGCCGUUCUUAGUUGGAGGAGAGAUUUGUCUGGUUAAUUCCGAUAAAGAACGAGACUCUAACCUACUAAAAAAAUCGUGGGUUUACGGACUCCAUGGAGACUUCUUAUAGGGACACGACUGGAUUCAUCAAGCUCUAACAGAGCAAUAUGGGGGCUGUGAUGCCCUUAAUGAUCCGGGGCCGCGCGCGCGCUACAAACCUGCGAUCAGCGUGCAUUCUCAGUCUACUCUGCCAAGAGGGGGAAACCCAAUGAACCUUCUUCGUGAUUGGGAUAGGUGAUUGUAAUUCUUCUCCUUGAACGAGGAAUUCCCAGUAAGCGCGAGUCAUAAGCUCGCGUUGAUUACGUCCCUGCCCUUUGUACACACCGCCCGUCGCUACUACCGAUUGAAUGUUUU